Molecule: ribosomal RNA, 429 nt
Filed under: uncultured bacterium
Lineage: Bacteria
Description: bacterial SSU rRNA
Rfam family: Bacterial small subunit ribosomal RNA
Source: RNAcentral
UGGGGAAUUGUUCGCAAUGGGCGCAAGCCUGACGACGCAACGCCGCGUGGAGGAUGAAGAAUUUCGGUUCGUAAACUCCUUUCGAUCGGGAAGAACGUUUCGGGGAUGAAUACUCCCCGGAAGUGACGGUACCGAGAGAAGAAGCCCCGGCUAACUCUGUGCCAGCAGCCGCGGUAAUACAGGGGGGGCAAGCGUUGUUCGGAAUUACUGGGCGUAAAGGGCUCGUAGGCGGCCAACUAAGUCACACGUGAAAUCCCCAGGCUUAACCUGGGAACUGCGUGUGAUACUGGAUGGCUUGAAUCCGGGAGAGGGAUGCAGAAUUCCAGGUGUAGCGGUGAAAUGCGUAGAUAUCUGGAGGAAUACCGGUGGCGAAGGCGGCAUCCUGGACCGGCAUUGACGCUGAUGAGCGAAAGCUAGGGGAGCAAACGG